UGGAUCAUGAACUAAUAAUUACAGAGUCAUAUUAUGAUAUUUUUGUAGCUGAGAUCGACAUUACGUACCUUUGAAUAAUGUUUACCAUUUGUUGAUAAUUUUCUUGUGGUUUUCUCAUUGAGUCAAAGAUUAUCAACCGGUUCUUGGGAAUUUCAAUGACCAUGAGUAUCCAGUGAAAGCUGUUUACACACAUAUAUAUAUAGUCAGUCUUAUAAUGUAAAAUAAAAUAUGCAUGCACUUAAUAACUAUAUAACUCACUCGAAGUUGAAGGGGAAGAGUAUUUUUUGUUUUUCUUUUUGGUUCACAAAGAACCUCAUAAGAUUGGUGUAGACUUCUGUCUCAUGAGCUGCUGUCCACACUGCCUGCGGAGCUUUGAAAACAAUAUAAGGGUCAAUGAACCCAAUACUAUUGUCAUUUCUGAUUCUGAGCUCUCAUUUGGUGCCUGCAUAUAUACAUACAAAUCCAAAGUGUGUAAGAAUUAUAUAAAUGUAAUUAAAGAAGUUAGAAGUAUAAUAAAAAGAAAAAUAUACUUACAGACAAAAGCAGCUGACAAGAGAUUUGUCGAGAGCGUCAAGGUGACA
This 581-nucleotide long non-coding RNA is filed under the name Sorghum bicolor (sorghum). RNAcentral describes it as "long non-coding RNA (SBIC_LNC000650)". Lineage: Eukaryota; Viridiplantae; Streptophyta; Magnoliopsida; Poales; Poaceae. The record is from RNAcentral.